UGCUGUCGUAGCUCAGCUGGUAGAGCACGGAAAAAACAGGUCUUGACAAAGACCUUAACAGCAAUCAAAAACACCUGUUAAGUGCGUUGUCGCAGGUUCGAAUCCUGCCGCAGCGG
This 116-nucleotide transfer RNA is filed under the name Lachnospiraceae bacterium. RNAcentral describes it as "tRNA-OTHER". It matches the Rfam family "tRNA". From Rfam's summary of the family: Transfer RNA (tRNA) molecules are approximately 80 nucleotides in length. Their secondary structure includes four short double-helical elements and three loops (D, anti-codon, and T loops). Further hydrogen bonds mediate the characteristic L-shaped molecular structure. tRNAs have two regions of fundamental functional importance: the anti-codon, which is responsible for specific mRNA codon recognition, and the 3' end, to which the tRNAs corresponding amino acid is attached (by aminoacyl-tRNA synthetases). tRNAs cope with the degeneracy of the genetic code in two manners: having more than one tRNA (with a specific anti-codon) for a particular amino acid; and 'wobble' base-pairing, i.e. permitting non-standard base-pairing at the 3rd anti-codon position. The record is from RNAcentral. Lineage: Bacteria; Bacillati; Bacillota; Clostridia; Lachnospirales; Lachnospiraceae.